This 1693-nucleotide ribosomal RNA is filed under the name human gut metagenome. RNAcentral's name for it is "bacterial LSU rRNA". It matches the Rfam family "Bacterial large subunit ribosomal RNA", at positions 830 to 2539 of the family's 2925-position model. The record is from RNAcentral.
CAAUCGAACCCGGAGAUAGCUGGUUCUCCUCGAAAUAGCUUUAGGGCUAGCCUCGCAUUAGUUUACCGGAGGUAGAGCACUGAAUGGUCUAGGGGGCCUCACCGCCUACCGAAACCUAUCAAACUGCGAAUGCCGGAUAAAUGAUGUGCGGGAGUCAGGCCGCGAGAGAUAAGUUCCGCGGUCAAAAGGGGAACACCCCAGAUCGUCUGCUAAGGUCCCUAAGUACGCGUUAAGUGGGAAAGGAUGUUGGAUUGCACAGACAACCAGGAUGUUGGCUUAGAAGCAGCCACACAUUCAAAGAGUGCGUAAUAGCUCACUGGUCGAGUGAUCCAGCGCCGAAAAUGUAACGGGGCUAAAACGCGACACCGAAGCAGCGGGAUGCGUAAGCAUCGGUAGAGGAGCAUUGUGUGAGGAUAGAAGCCAGAGCGGGAGCACUGGUGGACUUCACAGAAGAGAGAAUGCCGGUAUGAGUAGCGAGACCCAUGCGAGAAACAUGGGCGUCGAAGGCCCAAGGUUUCCUGGGGAAGGUUCAUCCACCCAGGGUAAGUCGGGACCUAAGCCGAGGACUGAGGUCGUAGGCGAUGGACAGCAGGUAGAGAUUCCUGCACCACUUACACUUGUUUGACGAAGCAGUGACACAGAAGGAUAGGACGAGCGCGGUGAUGGUCAACCGCGUAGGCGGCACGAGGCCGGGAAGCAGUGAAGUACACUUCCCGCAAAGGCUGAGUGUUGACAGGACCGAAAAGAAGUAGGGAAGCGUCCGAGUUCACGCUGGCGAGAAAAGCUGCUAAGGAGAGUGUGAGUGCCCGUACCGGAAACCGACGCAGGUGGGCGAGGAGAGAAUCCUGAGACGGACGGGAGAACUCUUGUUAAGGAACUCGGCAAAAUGACCCCGUAACUUCGGGAGAAGGGGUGCCUCGAAAGAGGCCGCAGAGAAUAGUCACAAGCGACUGUUUAGCAAAAACACAGGUAUCUGCGAAAGCGAGAGCUGACGUAUAGGUGCUGACGCCUGCCCGGUGCUGGAAGGUUAAGGGGAAGUGUUAGGGGAAACCCGAAGCAGAGAACCGAAGCCCCAGUAAACGGCGGCCGUAACUAUAACGGUCCUAAGGUAGCGAAAUUCCUUGUCGGGUAAGUUCCGACCCGCACGAAUGGCGUAACGACUUGUGAGCUGUCUCAACAGGAGGCCCGGUGAAAUUGAAGUAUGUGUGAAGAUGCACAUUACCCGCGACUGGACGGAAAGACCCCGUAGAGCUUUACUGUAACCUGACAUUGGAUCUUGAUAACGGAUGCACAGGAUAGGUGGGACGCUGGGAGACGAGGACUUUGGUUUUCGUGGAGCGGCCGUUGGGAUACCACUCUUCUGUUAUUGAGAUUCUAACCUCAAGCCGUAAGCCGGAUGAGAGACAGUGUCAGGCGGACAGUUUGACUGGGGCGGUCGCCUCCGAAAGAGUAACGGAGGCGCCCAAAGGUACCCUCAGAAUGGAUGGAAACCAUUCGAAGAGAGCAAAGUCAGAAGGGUGCUUGACUGCGAGACCAACAAGUCGAGCAGGUACGAAAGUAGGGCUUAGUGAUCCGGCGGUAAGAGAGUGGAAUUGCCGUCGCUCAACGGAUAAAAGCUACCUCGGGGAUAACAGGCUGAUCUCCCCCAAGAGUUCACAUCGACGGGGAGGUUUGGCACCUCGAUGUCGGCUCA